GAUGAACGCUGGCGGCGUGCUUAACACAUGCAAGUCGAACGGAAAGGCCCAAGCUUGCUUGGGUACUCGAGUGGCGAACGGGUGAGUAACACGUGGGUGAUCUGCCCUGCACUUCGGGAUGAGCCUGGGAAACUGGGUCUAAUACCGGAUAGGACGAUGGUUUGGAUGCCAUUGUGGAAAGUUUUUUCGGUGUGGGAUGAGCUCGCGGCCUAUCAGCUUGUUGGUGGGGUAAUGGCCUACCAAGGCGUCGACGGGUAGCCGGCCUGAGAGGGUGUACGGCCACAUUGGGACUGAGAUACGGCCCAGACUCCUACGGGAGGCAGCAGUGGGGAAUAUUGCACAAUGGGCGCAAGCCUGAUGCAGCGACGCCGCGUGGGGGAUGACGGCCUUCGGGUUGUAAACUCCUUUCGCUAGGGACGAAGCGUUUUUGUGACGGUACCUGGAGAAGAAGCACCGGCUAACUACGUG
This 468-nucleotide ribosomal RNA is filed under the name uncultured bacterium. RNAcentral describes it as "partial 16S ribosomal RNA". It matches the Rfam family "Bacterial small subunit ribosomal RNA", at positions 28 to 507 of the family's 1533-position model. The record is from RNAcentral.